RNAcentral lists this transfer RNA (61 nucleotides) under Cordylochernes scorpioides. RNAcentral describes it as "tRNA-OTHER". The record is from RNAcentral. Lineage: Eukaryota; Metazoa; Arthropoda; Arachnida; Pseudoscorpiones; Chernetidae.
GCAUCGGUGGUUCAGUGGUACAAUGCUCGCCUGCCACCGGGUUCAAUUCCCGGCCGAUGAA